GGUGCUUGCAUCAUGAUUUACAUUUGAGUGAGUGGCGAACUGGUGAGUAACACGUGGGAAACCUGCCCAGAAGCGGGGGAUAACACCUGGAAACAGAUGCUAAUACCGCAUAACAACUUGGACCGCAUGGUCCGAGUUUGAAAGAUGGCUUCGGCUAUCACUUUUGGAUGGUCCCGCGGCGUAUUAGCUAGAUGGUGGGGUAACGGCUCACCAUGGCAAUGAUACGUAGCCAACCUGAGAGGGUAAUCGGCCACAUUGGGACUGAGACACGGCCCAAACUCCUACGGGAGGCAGCAGUAGGGAAUCUUCCACAAUGGACGAAAGUCUGAUGGAGCAACGCCGCGUGAGUGAAGAAGGGUUUCGGCUCGUAAAACUCUGUUGUUAAAGAAGAACAUAUCUAAGAGUAACUGUUCAGGUAUUGACGGUAUUUAACCAGAAAGCCACGGCUAACUACGUGCCAGCAGCCGCGGUAAUACGUAGGUGGCAAGCGUUGUCCGGAUUUAUUGGGCGUAAAGCGAGCGCAGGCGGUUUUUUAAGUCUGAUGUGAAAGCCUUCGGCUCAACCGAAGAAGUGCAUCGGAAACUGGGAAACUUGAGUGCAGAAGAGGACAGUGGAACUCCAUGUGUAGCGGUGAAAUGCGUAGAUAUAUGGAAGAACACCAGUGGCGAAGGCGGCUGUCUGGUCUGUAACUGACGCUAAGGCUCGAAAGUAUGGGUAGCAAACAGGAUUAGAUACCCUGGUAGUCCAUACCGUAAACGAUGAAUGCUAAGUGUUGGAGGGUUUCCGCCCUUCAGUGCUGCAGCUAACGCAUUAAGCAUUCCGCCUGGGGAGUACGGCCGCAAGGCUGAAA
Molecule: ribosomal RNA, 850 nt
Filed under: Lactiplantibacillus plantarum
Lineage: Bacteria; Bacillati; Bacillota; Bacilli; Lactobacillales; Lactobacillaceae
Description: bacterial SSU rRNA
Rfam family: Bacterial small subunit ribosomal RNA
Source: RNAcentral